Molecule: ribosomal RNA, 910 nt
Filed under: uncultured bacterium
Lineage: Bacteria
Description: bacterial SSU rRNA
Rfam family: Bacterial small subunit ribosomal RNA
Source: RNAcentral
ACGCUGGCGGCGUGCCUAAUACAUGCAAGUAGAACGCUGAAGAGAGGAGCUUGCUCUUCUUGGAUGAGUUGCGAACGGGUGAGUAACGCGUAGGUAACCUGCCUUGUAGCGGGGGAUAACUAUUGGAAACGAUAGCUAAUACCGCAUAACAAUGGGUGACUCAUGUCAUUUAUUUGAAAGGGGCAAAUGCUCCACUACAAGAUGGACCUGCGUUGUAUUAGCUAGUAGGUGAGGUAACGGCUCACCUAGGCGACGAUACAUAGCCGACCUGAGAGGGUGAUCGGCCACACUGGGACUGAGACACGGCCCAGACUCCUACGGGAGGCAGCAGUAGGGAAUCUUCGGCAAUGGGGGCAACCCUGACCGAGCAACGCCGCGUGAGUGAAGAAGGUUUUCGGAUCGUAAAGCUCUGUUGUAAGUCAAGAACGAGUGUGAGAGUGGAAAGUUCACACUGUGACGGUAGCUUACCAGAAAGGGACGGCUAACUACGUGCCAGCAGCCGCGGUAAUACGUAGGUCCCGAGCGUUGUCCGGAUUUAUUGGGCGUAAAGCGAGCGCAGGCGGUUUGAUAAGUCUGAAGUUAAAGGCUGUGGCUCAACCAUAGUUCGCUUUGGAAACUGUCAAACUUGAGUGCAGAAGGGGAGAGUGGAAUUCCAUGUGUAGCGGUGAAAUGCGUAGAUAUAUGGAGGAACACCGGUGGCGAAAGCGGCUCUCUGGUCUGUAACUGACGCUGAGGCUCGAAAGCGUGGGGAGCGAACAGGAUUAGAUACCCUGGUAGUCCACGCCGUAAACGAUGAGUGCUAGGUGUUGGAUCCUUUCCGGGAUUCAGUGCCGCAGCUAACGCAUUAAGCACUCCGCCUGGGGAGUACGACCGCAAGGUUGAAACUCAAAGGAAUUGACGGGGGCCCGCA